AAGGGCAUGCUAGUAAGAAACUGGGA
This 26-nucleotide non-coding RNA is filed under the name Cricetulus griseus (Chinese hamster). Lineage: Eukaryota; Metazoa; Chordata; Mammalia; Rodentia; Cricetidae. The record is from RNAcentral.